UUGAGAGAGUGGAUGCGGCAGAGAGUGUGAGAAGAGCUCUCUUAAACGAAGAAGAUGAAUAAAGAAGGAAAUAGAACCUUUCAAUUGAUAUCAAAAGAACAGUUUGCAGAUAAUGCAACAAUAAAGAGAAGUGCCCUAAUUUAUAGGUAAUUUGUAGUUUUGGUUUUUCAAACCCUUGGAUCACAAAUAAUAAAAAAAGCCCAUGGGAAAUACACCUCUCUCGCGUGAAUCCAUUUCAACGGUAAUAACAUCUUUAUUUUUAGACUAAAUCUUUUGCAUUUAUAAUUUAGAUUUUUAUAUUUCAUGCUGUGUAUUUAUAAUUUAAAUUUUUAUAUUUCAUGCUGUGUAUUUAUAAUUUAAAUUUUUAUAUUUCAUGCUGUGUAUUUAUAAUAUAGAUUUUUAUGUUUCUGUGUAUUUAUAAUUUAGAUUUUGGGUAAGAUUGAUGGCCCAGAUCUGCGACUUGUGAGCAUUCCCUUGAUCAACAGUUCUGCCCCAACUUUGGCAAAUUCAGCUUCUUUUGGGUUCGACAGUUCCCAAUUCAUUCCCUUAAUCAAUUUCAACAGUUCCUGUCACAUGGUUUCGAAUUGUAUUAUGCACAAUAAAUAUUCUAGAAUUAAACGGGGAAGGAAUAUUGUCGUAACCAUUUAUGAAAACAGAAACAGAAAUACUGUUAUGAAACUAGAAAGAUGAUUUUGGAAUAAGCAAUAAUUACAAGUAGUUGGGUUGUUGCUUUGUGGUAUAUUAUUAUCUAAUUGAACCAAUUAUAUCUAAAUACUAUUAUGCUUUGUGAUUUGCUGCAUAAUGGUUCAGCCUUCUUAUGUGGUCUGAAAACAAGCAUUGUAGUCAAGGCCACCUGUGAAUCCUGAUUUAUCAAAUUUAGAAGCAUAGUAAGACAGAUCUUCUUUGAGAGCCAUGAUGGGAGUGGAUGCUCACAAGUCGUAGAUCUGUCUAGCUUAGCAGUUAUUUUAUUGCUUCAGUAGCUUAGCUUAUGCAUGCGCAGCAUCUUUGGUUGGUUUAUAAGUAUUCUUAUGUGGUCUGAAAACAAGCAUUGUAAUGUACCCACAAGAGAUGUUUAACCAAUCAAAAUCAGUAAGGUAUAAAAUGUUGCACAAAAACAGUGGAGAUCCUUCACAAUCUCUGUGGUAAGAUCAUGGCAGCAGGUAUGGUUUUCAGAGCUUUUUCUCUUUUGCACUCUGAUACAAAUAUUCAGAUAUCAAUUCUUCAUUGCAGGUCUUCUCUUUCUUCAUCUUGCUUCUUGAACCUCACAGUUUUCAUUGGUUGCGUGUGAGGAUUUAUAUCUUAUCCUUUGCGAUCAAGCAAUUGAUUGGAAGAUUCAUGCAGAAAGUCACUGCUGUGAGUUUUUCUUUUUAAUAAAAAAUUGAAUAUUAUUUGGGUCAUGCUUCAACAUGAUUUCAAUAUGUCGCGCAUAAUUAGAGAAAACUUGAUACUGAAUAUCAUUUGAAAGAUAGUAUUGUUCUAUAGGGUUAACAACCAUCCUUUCCAUCUUAUUCUCUCAAGUAAAUGAGACUUUCCUUGACGAAAUAUGAUAAAAAAUUCCUCGCUCAUUUCGUUAUCAUGUAUCUAUGAUUCUUGUUUUGAUUCUUGUUUAUGGAGCCACCUCUCAUUGCAUUGGCACCUGUUAAUGAAGUAGCAGUUAUCGCCUUGGAAUAUAUGUAGCUAUAUGGUUGAUGCAACAUGUCAUCGGCUCGUCAGGUUUCUCCAAAAGAUUUAUCUCGUAGGACAGCACUGUCAACUGUCAUACAAAAAUGUGUACAUUUUAUAAAUAAAGUAGAGUAAN
RNAcentral lists this long non-coding RNA (1798 nucleotides) under Cicer arietinum (chickpea). RNAcentral's name for it is "long non-coding RNA (CARI_LNC003515)". The record is from RNAcentral. Lineage: Eukaryota; Viridiplantae; Streptophyta; Magnoliopsida; Fabales; Fabaceae.